This 242-nucleotide unclassified non-coding RNA is filed under the name fungal sp. RNAcentral describes it as "partial internal transcribed spacer region". The stretch from base 1 to 46 matches the Rfam family "Eukaryotic small subunit ribosomal RNA", at positions 1786 to 1831 of the family's 1831-position model. Lineage: Eukaryota; Fungi. The record is from RNAcentral.
AAGUCGUAACAAGGUCUCCGUUGGUGAACCAGCGGAGGGAUCAUUACAGAGUUGCAAAACUCCCAACCAUUGUGAACCUACCUCACCGUUGCUUCGGCGGGUGGCUCGGGGCAACCCAGGCUGCGCCGGCCCCUUCAGGGCCCGGCAACCCGUCAGAGGACCGAAACUCUUCGUCAUCAGUGGCCUCUCUGAGUAAUUUAUACAAUAAGUUAAAACUUUCAACAACGGAUCUCUUGGUUCUG